GUUUUGAAGAAUUAUAAUUUUAAGUUUAAUCUGCUCAAUGAAAUUUUAAAUGGCUGCAGUAUUUUAACUGUACAAAGGUAGCAUAAUAAUUAGUUUUUUAAUUGGAAACUAGAAUGAAUGAUUGGAUGAGAUAUAAACUUUAUUAGAAUUAUUAAAUAAAAUUAUAUUUUAAGUUAAAAUAUUUAAAUGAUUUUUAAAGACGAGAAGACCCUAAAGAAUUUUUAUAUUUUAUUUAUUUUAAUUUAAAUAAAAUAUUUUAGUUGGGGCAAUUUUAAAAUUUAAUUAAUUUUUAAUUUUAAAUAACAAAAAUUUUUGAAUUUAAAAUAAUUUUUUAAAAAAUAAAAUUAAAUUACCUUAGGGAUAACAGCAUAAUUUUUUUUUAAAGUUCAAAUUUAUAAAAAAGUUUAU
Molecule: ribosomal RNA, 408 nt
Filed under: Prasmodon eminens
Lineage: Eukaryota; Metazoa; Arthropoda; Insecta; Hymenoptera; Braconidae
Description: partial 16S large subunit ribosomal RNA
Source: RNAcentral